GACGAACGCUGGCGGCGUGCCUAAUACAUGCAAGUCGAGCGAAGUUUUUCUGGUGCUUGCACUAGAAAAACUUAGCGGCGAACGGGUGAGUAACACGUAAAGAACCUGCCUCAUAGACUGGGACAACUAUUGGAAACGAUAGCUAAUACCGGAUAACAGUAUUUCUCGCAUGAGAGAUAUUUAAAAGUUGGUUAUGCUAACACUAUGAGAUGGCUUUGCGGUGCAUUAGCUAGUUGGUGGGGUAAAGGCCCACCAAGGCGACGAUGCAUAGCCGACCUGAGAGGGUGAUCGGCCACACUGGGACUGAGACACGGCCCAGACUCCUACGGGAGGCAGCAGUAGGGAAUCUUCCGAAAUGGGCGAAAGCCUGACGGAGCAACGCCGCGUGAGUGAAGAAGGAUUUCGGUUCGUAAAGCUCUGUUGUUAGGGAAGAAUGGAUAUGUAGUAACUAUACAUGUAAGAGACGGUACCUAACCAGAAAGCCACGGCUAACUACGUG
Molecule: ribosomal RNA, 499 nt
Filed under: uncultured bacterium
Lineage: Bacteria
Description: partial 16S ribosomal RNA
Rfam family: Bacterial small subunit ribosomal RNA
Source: RNAcentral